RNAcentral lists this ribosomal RNA (256 nucleotides) under uncultured bacterium. Its description in RNAcentral is "partial 16S ribosomal RNA". It matches the Rfam family "Bacterial small subunit ribosomal RNA", at positions 99 to 354 of the family's 1533-position model. The record is from RNAcentral.
CGGACGGGUGGAGUAACGCGUGGAAAACCUGCCGUAUACUGGGGGAUAACACUUAGAAAUAGGUGCUAAUACCGCAUAAGCGCACAGCUUCGCAUGAAGCGGUGUGAAAAACUCUGGUGGUAUACGAUGGUUCCACGUCUGAUUAGCUAGUUGGUGGGGUAAUGGCCUACCAGGGCAACGAUCAGUAGCCGGCCUGAGAGGGUGAACGGCCACAUUGGGACUGAGACACGGCCCAAACUCCUACGGGAGGCAGCAG